RNAcentral lists this long non-coding RNA (642 nucleotides) under Chinchilla lanigera (long-tailed chinchilla). Its description in RNAcentral is "lncRNA (ENSCLAG00000023564.1)". Lineage: Eukaryota; Metazoa; Chordata; Mammalia; Rodentia; Chinchillidae. The record is from RNAcentral.
AUUUUACAGAGGAGAUUCUGGUUCAGAAAAGUAAUGCUUAUCACAGUUUUUUUUUUUUUUUUUUAAAUUGGAAUUGGACAGACUGAAGCUGAGAAACCCAGAUUUCCCUAGCGUGGGCCCUGUAAUGAAGACUCACCCGAGGGUCUACCGCUACAUGAUAUUCAAUAUGAUGAAAGCGCAAGUGGCUUCAUGCUGGAGCUUGGCAUGCGGGAAGCAGUGAGCUGUAACUAUACCUGUUAAAGUACAGGUCGAGCAUUCUUAAACUGGAAAUCUGAAAUCUUAGAUGUUCCAAAAUCCAAAGCUUUUGAGAACCAAUGUGAUGCCGCAGAUGGAAAAUUGUACAUCUACCUUCAUGUUAUGUGUCACAGUGAAAGCACGGGCACUUUCAAAGUGCUGUACAAAAGUACUUUCAGAAGCAUAUGGAACGUAAAAUGAAUAUCUCAUUGCUUCCUUUAUUUGAGCACCACAAGGAGAAAGGCGUCUCCAGCCACAACUGUGUCCACCUGAGUCCUGGCUUUCUUCCUUUCUGUUUUGUACUCCGUGGGAUAAACAAUACCAGCAAGGUGGAUUUCUGUACUCUUUUAACAGGCACAGUUGCAUUCCAGGCUAUCACUGAGUUUCAAUUCAAGGCAAGUGGAAGGU